This 318-nucleotide unclassified non-coding RNA is filed under the name Brugia malayi. RNAcentral describes it as "partial miscellaneous RNA". The stretch from base 51 to 155 matches the Rfam family "SL1 RNA". The record is from RNAcentral. Lineage: Eukaryota; Metazoa; Nematoda; Chromadorea; Rhabditida; Onchocercidae.
GAAUGUUGAAUACACAACAACUAUAUGAUAAUGAUGCAGGUAUGAUCGACGGUUUAAUUACCCAAGUUUGAGGUAAUUGAAUGUUUCGGCCCAGAGUUUAGGCUACUGUGGCUUGAAGUAAAAUUUUGGAACGUCCUGCAUAUUUGUGGGACAAUAAUAGAAUGUUGAAUACACAACAACUAUAUGAUAAUGAUGCAGGUAUGAUCGACGGUUUAAUUACCCAAGUUUGAGGUAAUUGAAUGUUUCGGCCCAGAGUUUAGGCUACUGUGGCUUGAAGUAAAAUUUUGGAACGUCCUGCAUAUUUGUGGGACAAUAAUA